UUGUAGCUUGCUACGAUUUAACUUAGUGGCAGACGGGUGAGUAAUGUAUAGGAAUCUACCUAGUAGUACGGAAUAAUUGUUGGAAACGGCAACUAAUGCCGUAUACGCCCUACGGGGGAAAGAUUUGUUGCUAUUAGAUGUGCCUAUAUUGGAUUAGCUAGUUGGUAAGGUAAAGGCUUACCAAGGCAAUGAUCUAUAGCUGAUCUGAGAGGAUGAUCAGCCACACUGGAACUGAGAUACGGUCCAG
Molecule: ribosomal RNA, 247 nt
Filed under: uncultured bacterium
Lineage: Bacteria
Description: partial 16S ribosomal RNA
Rfam family: Bacterial small subunit ribosomal RNA
Source: RNAcentral